This 270-nucleotide ribosomal RNA is filed under the name Gammarus cf. balcanicus UA15-06_3. RNAcentral's name for it is "partial 16S ribosomal RNA". The record is from RNAcentral. Lineage: Eukaryota; Metazoa; Arthropoda; Malacostraca; Amphipoda; Gammaridae.
UUAUCCCUAGAGUAACUUUCCUAUUUUUUCUUUAUCUUAAGGAUCCUUUACAUAAAAAAUAGCUUAAUUAUUUUUACCGCCCCAGUAAAACAAACAAACUCUCAAAACGAAAAAUCCUCUUGUUAAGCUUCUAGGGUCUUAUCGUCCCCUAGAAAAUUAAAGAAUUCUUACCUUAACUUUAAUAUACUAUUUAGCUCACAAACUUAAUAAGUCAGUUUAACCUUUCAUUCCAGUUAUCAAUUAAAUAACAAAUGACUAUGCUACCUUAGC